RNAcentral lists this small RNA (2491 nucleotides) under Pan troglodytes (chimpanzee). RNAcentral describes it as "retained intron". The record is from RNAcentral. Lineage: Eukaryota; Metazoa; Chordata; Mammalia; Primates; Hominidae.
AUGGUGACUAGGCACCAGCUCAGCUGUCACGGGUGCUGCCCCAGGUCCCAGGCCCCACCCCCUGCUGCCCAGGCACACACCCCCUGCGGCAGGUGACUCCACCCCUGCGUUCUGCUGUGCCGGGCACCUGCCUGCUCUACGCCCCUCAUCCCCAGGAUUUCCCACCCGCAGGCUUUCUGCGGGGGCAGUGGUGGCCCCGGCUUCUCACCCUUCAGGUUUUCUUGCAUCUGCGCACCGGUGGAAGAGAGUAGGCCCAGUGGACUGGGUGCUGCUGGGAGGUGGGAGGCUGCUGGGAGGGCACCGGAUGCCGGGGCCUUGCAACCUGGCAGAGGCUGUGCUGCUCAGGGAAGCAAGGUGGCCCUGGGGUGAGGCGGGGGGCUCAGAGGAAGGGGAGCCCUCAGGAGGAAGUGUUGGGGGCAACUGCCAGAGAGCCCGGCCACUGCCCAGUGCCCAUCCGGAAGCUCAGCAGGGAGUGGGCUUGGAAGUGGGCAGGGGCAUGUUGGCGCCGGCAGCAUCCUCUCUUGCAGAUGAAGGGCGCCCUGAUGGAGAUCAUCCAGCUCGCCAGCCUCGACUCGGACCCCUGGGUGCUCAUGGUCGCUGACAUCUUGAAGUCCUUUCCGGACACAGGCUCGCUUAACCUGGAGCUGGAGGAGCAGAAUCCCAACGUUCAGGAUAUUUUGGGAGAACUUAGAGAAAAGGUGGGUGAGUGUGAAGCGUCUGCCAUGCUGCCACUGGAGUGCCAGUACUUGAACAAAAACGCCCUGACGACCCUCGCGGGACCCCUCACUCCCCCGGUGAAGCAUUUUCAGUUAAAGCGGAAACCCAAGAGCGCCACGCUGCGGGCGGAGCUGCUGCAGAAGUCCACGGAGACCGCCCAGCAGUUGAAGCGGAGCGCCGGGGUGCCCUUCCACGCCAAGGGCCGGGGGCUGCUGCGGAAGAUGGACACCACCACCCCACUCAAAGGCAUCCCGAAGCAGGCGCCCUUCAGAAGCCCCACGGCGCCCAGCGUCUUCAGCCCCACGGGGAACCGGACCCCCAUCCCGCCUUCCAGGACGCUGCUGCGGAAGGAACGAGGUGUGAAGCUGCUGGACAUCUCUGAGCUGGAUAUGGUUGGCGCUGGCCGAGAGGCGAAGAGGAGAAGGAAGACUCUCGAUGCGGAGGUGGUGGAGAAGCCGGCCAAGGAGGAAACAGUGGUGGAGAACGCCACCCCGGACUACGCAGCCGGCCUGGUGUCCACUCAGAAACUUGGGUCCCUGAACAAUGAGCCUGCGCUGCCCUCCACGAGCUACCUUCCCUCCACGCCCAGCGUGGUUCCUGCCUCCUCCUACAUCCCCAGCUCCGAGACGCCCCCAGCCCCAUCUUCCCGGGAAGCCAGCCGCCCACCAGAGGAGCCCAGCGCCCCGAGCCCCACGUUGCCAGCGCAGUUCAAGCAGCGGGCGCCCAUGUACAACAGCGGCCUGAGCCCUGCCACACCCACGCCUGCGGCGCCCACCUCGCCUCUGACACCCACCACACCUCCGGCUGUCGCCCCUACCACUCAGACACCCCCGGUUGCCAUGGUGGCCCCGCAGACCCAGGCCCCUGCUCAGCAGCAGCCUAAGAAGAACCUGUCCCUCACGAGAGAGCAGAUGUUCGCUGCCCAGGAGAUGUUCAAGACGGCCAACAAAGUCACGCGGCCCGAGAAGGCCCUCAUCCUGGGCUUCAUGGCCGGCUCCCGAGAGAACCCGUGCCAGGAGCAGGGGGACGUGAUCCAGAUCAAGCUGAGCGAGCACACGGAGGACCUGCCCAAGGCGGAUGGCCAGGGUAGCACAACCAUGCUGGUGGACACGGUGUUUGAGAUGAACUAUGCCACGGGCCAGUGGACGCGCUUCAAGAAGUACAAGCCCAUGACCAAUGUGUCCUAGGGCCACCUGCCUCACAGCUGGCCGUCCCUUGGGGGGGGGUCCACGGGACGGUGGCUUUGCCGGCUUAAAGUAACCGGAUGGCGGACACCUGGCCCCCGAGGUCCCCCAGCCGCCGCCCUGCUGCUGACCCAGCCUGUUUUAAGUUCUGGAUGCAUUUCUCUGGGGUGUUUGGGGCUUAUUUUUAAAAUUUUAAUAUGGGUUCUUUUUUGUGUGAUUUAAGACACUUUUUGGACUCAACGUUACAUUUUUGAAUGUAGUAAGUUAACCAAAAAAGUUACAACUUCCUAAUUUUAGUGACAGCUCUGCCUGUUAGACUCUUACUUUUUAAAAUCUUUUCUAUUUUCCCUCGCUGGGGCAGUGCCCUCCUACCCCCAGGGUUGAGGGGACCAAGGUGGCACAGUGGUACUGGGGGUGCGGCAGGGACACCCGACCACACCAGAGCGUGGGAGACGGUGGGCCUUGUCCCCUGCCUGUGCCUGCCUGGGAGUUUUGUAUUCAUCUUUUGUAUAGUUGUGGACAUUUAAGACAGUCUUUGGGUACCUAUUUUCAUUGUAAAACUAUCUGAACCAUUAAAGUCGAGCUUUUCU